Non-coding RNA from Stegodyphus mimosarum, 45 nucleotides. The record is from Rfam. Lineage: Eukaryota; Metazoa; Arthropoda; Arachnida; Araneae; Eresidae.
AAAACGGUUCUUUUAAGAACCACUCUUGCUUUGGAAAAUUGGAAA